RNAcentral lists this long non-coding RNA (707 nucleotides) under Malus domestica (apple). RNAcentral describes it as "long non-coding RNA (MDOM_LNC008571)". The record is from RNAcentral. Lineage: Eukaryota; Viridiplantae; Streptophyta; Magnoliopsida; Rosales; Rosaceae.
AGUAUAACAUGUGUGGAGAAGAACCCUCUAGCUAGUCCGUCAUUUAUCAUUUUACCUUAAUUUUACGUUUUUAUCAAUUCUGUAAUUUAAUUAAAUUUAAUUUACUUUUCAUCAAAACCAAACACCCAUCCAUUAUUAAAUUAUUUUAUUUAGUUAGUUUUCUUUAUUGUUAGUCUUUUAAUUUAAUUUCCGUCCAUUUCAGUUCCUAGUGUUUAAUUUAAUUGUUUUCAUUAUUUUGAGUCAUUUUAAGUGUGUUUCGAGUUAUUAGAGUUUUUAGCCUAAUUUUGUGUCCUUGACUCUUAUUUAAUAUUUUUAAAUUAAUUUAGAGUAGAUUAGCAAUCCCUCCUAAUCCCCGGCCUAGAACGAUACCCUACUUACAUCUAUACUACAAUUGUCAAAAAGAGGGUUUAAUUUGUGUGUCAAGAAAUUCUCACAUCAAAUUUUGGCGCCGUUGCCGGGGAUUAGUAACUUUGCUAAUCCUUUUAUUUUUGUUUUUGUUUAUGUUUAUAUUGGUGUUUGUGUAUUUUACUUUUGAUAUUUGAUUUAUUUUUCUUUCUUUGAUUUUAGGUUCAAAUGGAGCCGAGGGAAAUUUAAAGGAAAGAUGCGUCCGGCUAAAGACGUUAAAUCAAGCGCUUCUUGGGAGGCAACCCAAGCAUUCAACGAAGGGAGACUUUGGAAUCGCUAACCCAAUCAGAUUUGCAUUUUUA